Long non-coding RNA from Alexandromys fortis (reed vole), 4516 nucleotides. RefSeq lists it as uncharacterized. The transcript is spliced from 4 exons. NCBI's taxonomy places the organism in Eukaryota, Metazoa, Chordata, Mammalia, Rodentia, Cricetidae. The record is from RefSeq and is a predicted model, not a curated record.
AGAGCAAGCCAGGGAGGAGAAAACAAAACUGCAGUUAGAUGCUCCGAAGCCGUUCUAUAGACACAAAAGCUGGGCGGGAGGCUGCUCCUGGAGACUGGUGGGUCUCCCAGGCUAGAAGCCACUGAUCUCCACCUGAGACUGGAGACCAGGCUAGCUUUUGGGAGAGAAUGCAGAGCGCACCAAGGACCUCCCUGCAGAAGUCCUAGUGAUUUAUGACAGGCCACCUCCCCUCUCUGGAACUGUGCCUCCUAUCUAUGAGUUGAUUCUAGACUAGCACUAUUUGCAGAAAAAUGGACAUGAAUGGCUCAAGACAAUCCCUAGUUUUUCCUUUUAGAUUUAUCUGUAAUGUCUCUGCAUGUGAGUGCAGGUGCCUGUGGAGGCCAGAAGAGGGCGCUUCUGAUUCCCCCUGGUGUGGUUACAGAUCCUUGUGAUGAGUCACCCAAUGGGAGCGCUGGCAACGGAACUCUAGCCCUCUGGAAGAACAGCAAGUGCUCUUAACCACUGAGCUGUUCUCUCCGGCCUCAAAUUCUAUAUUUCUAACAACCAAGUAGCACAGUUUUGAACCAGCUCCAACAUGCCUAGUGGCCACUUUGAUCCCAUGGCACAGCUCAAGAGAUGGGGAGCCAGGCUGAUAUCAGUAGAGCUACACUAUGGCACCAGCAAACCUGGAAGAUGGGAGAGCACCCAGCAUGCCGUGGAUUCCCCCAUAGAGAUUCCUGAUUGCUUGAACUAAAAUCACAUCUCCUGAACUACAGACAGCAGCUCAGAGGCUACAACACCAGAUUAAACAGCUCCCUGCAACAUGAUGGGGCGCCUACAGAAGUCAGCAGACCACAGCUGUGUGGGAGAUGUGCCAAGAAUGAACAACAGACAGAUUGGACUCAGAGUGCUGAACAAGGGCCAGACAUACAGGUGACAUGUCUCUUAUCAGAUCUCAUCAGAGGAAAUAGGAGAAGGCGCUAGAAUAUAGACAAACCCCCUAGGUAGGUGUAAGGACCACACUGGCUGUGCACACGCUAGUGUGCCCUAGCUUUUGGACAAGUGCAGGGAUAGUAACUGCCUUCCCUCAGGGUUGGAAUGAGGACAGACCGAGUAAAGCUCUUAGGGCAGGGCCUGGCAUGUGUUCACCAAGAGUAAGAGCCGCUGCCGUUUGACAGCCGUGAUUGACAGGAAUUUCACCCUAGCAACAAGCCCUGGGUAAUGAAGGCCACACACAAAUCAAGCUCCAGUUCUCAUCACAGAACAGAAAACCGAACACAAUGUCUGUGUGUAAUGUAAAAACAAAAGCACACACUCACCAUAAGGAGACUCGGGUUAUAAAAUCAUUCCUUACAAAGCAAUACUAAUUUUUCUGCUAAAUAUGACGAAGUAUCUAGUCUCUGCAGUAAAGAUAACACCAGGGUUUUAUUGGUGUGUGGGAGAGAAGGAAAGGUGUAUGUUAUAGUCUGCUUUAACGCAUUUGGAUUUAUCAUGGGAACUUAGGAGAUGAGACACUUUCCCACGAUAGUCUCAAUUUAUGCUCAUAGUCUUGUGAGCCAUCAUGUCCUCUCAGAUGGUUCUCAGCUUUGAGGACAAUGGGAUGUUCAUCCCUGUGAUAAAACUCCAAACAGUCAAGAUGCUGAUGGAAAGUUUGUGAGCUCCGAGGACAGUAAGGGUCCCCAUCUGUCCCGCCUUGCCAUGGUCAGGAGAGGGUCUAGCCUAGACGGUUGCUUAUGAGGUGUCAGGCCUCUGUAUAAUGCAGCCAGCUCUGUGGGAACUGAGAAGGAACUCCGGGCUGCUCUUACUGGUAUAUUUUUCUUCAGUCUGUAUUUUCAACAAAAUCCAAACAUCAUUCUUUUUCCCUCAGGUGGCAGAGAAAAGUCCCACCCUGCCUGCCACAUGGGGUCCUGGGCCUCUGCAUCCCACCUGUGUUCUAGCAAUAGCAAUGCAUUGCAGAACGACAAUGUUCUCUCUUCCCCUCCCCUCCUCCCUCUCUCAACUUUGAAAACAAACAUGACAAAAUUAAAAUGUGGCCCUGUUGCCUUGACCGUCAUGCAUUAUCAGCUUGCACAUAGUCUACCAUAGUAAAUAUGUCCUGCUCUCUGGGAGUUCUGUGCAGGGAGACUGGAGCCCAUGACCCCAGAAAGCCAGAGCCGCAACUGCGGUCCUAGGGUGACAUUAACACAUCUCGCUGUAAUGAGUGAGUCUGUCUCUGGCUAAAAAUGUUGUGGACAUUAUGACCAUAGAUAAGAUUGUAGCCACAGUGAUGCAGGCAUCAUAGAACUGACCAAAGCUGACAUACCAGUGGAUCUUCCAUAGCCAGAACCAUGGCAGGCAGGGCCACUGUGACCCCCACCCCUUUCUUCACUGAUUAGGUAAAAUGAAUACUUCCUGCUCUCCCUAAAGGAACCAGAUAGCUAAAAGAUUAAGAUAUUAUCGAAUCAAAACACAGUGCAAGGAUAAGGAAGGAGGAGAAUGAGGCUGGAGGCAUCUGGCCCCUUAAGAAAACCCGAGUCUUGUUAUGGAAACCCAAGUCCUGCUUUGAUUCCUGUCUACAGUGAGUAACCCAGAAAUCAAGUCGGCACCUUUGGGUGGAAACCAGAUGCCCUGGCUUCAUGGGGGGGGGGGGAACCAUGGUUUAGUGGGAUGAGAUUUUUCCCCCCAGCCUCUGUACAGCAAAUCUCUGGUGCUCUGCAGAAAGAGGCAUCAGGUUAGGAACUAACUGUCUGGACAAAAAUGCACACUGCUGUCUCCUGACAGUGGGAUAGCAUCUUAAUGCUGCAGGUAGAGGGGGCAGCUUUGAGCCCUUGACUUUCCUGUCUGUGGUAGUUUGGAUGUAAUUGGUCCCUAUAAGGCAUUAUUAAAGGCAUUAUUAGGAGGUGUGGCUUUGUUGGAAUAGGUAUAGCCUUGUUGGAGGAAGUGUGUCAUUGUGGGUGUGGGCUUUGAGGUCUUCUUUGCUCAAGCUUCACUCAGUGUGACACUCAGACCACUUCCUGCUGCUUGUGAGUCAAGAUACAGGACUUCAGCUCUUUCUCCAGCACCACGUCUGCCUGUAUGCCACCAUGUCACACCAUGAUAAUGGAUUAAGCCUCUCAAAAUGUAAGUCACCUCGAUUAAAUGUUUUUCCUUUAUAAGAGAUGCCAUGGUCAUGGUGUCUCUUCUCAGCAACAGAAACCAGAACUAAGACACUUCCACCAUCUUGCUCAUGGAAUAUGCAGCCUUACUGUGCUCUGUUACCUCCAUAAACUGAAGGUUAUGAUGGCAACUUCUCUCAGCUCCUGGGGGUGGGGUGGGGGGAGGGGAGCAGGGGAGCAGAAACACCUGCCAAGCACUCAGCUCUGUGGCACCUGCCAUGUACUUAGUGCUCAGUAAGUGUAUGUUUGAAUGAUUUUAUAACCAUUAAAAGCACAAGCACAGGCUCCUUGUACCAAAACAACAUGCACACUUGAGUAGACACACACACAAUUUGGUGGUAAAUAUAACUAUGUAAGUGAAUCCCAUCAUUGCUGUUUGGCUGAAGUUUCUGCAUUGUAGGUACAUGGUGCACAAACCAGGACCUGGCAGCAUUUUCAAGAAAUGAACAUGAUGCAGUAAACAUCAGUCAUCCCCAAACGAUGGGUUGAGUUUUUAAGAGUCCCUGUUUCUCUAACACACCUGGGAACAUAAUUCAGCUCUGAGUUUAUGUCUGCAAUUCACUCAGAAGACUUUAAAUAACCUAGUUUUCUGGAACAUGUAGGAAGUAAUGAGAAAUGGAUUCUUAGAUCAAGUGUCUCCACACAUCAUUUAAAUGCUAUUCAAUGGAACAGGUAUUUAGCAAGGUGAAUUUUGGUUAAGUGCCGUGCCAGUGGCACCCUGCUUAUUGGGAGAAUGGCAGGGUGUCCUGGGAGACCAGGGAUUCUCCCUGCCAUGGACCUUUUCCCUCUGUUCUCCUUCCUCCAGAAGUAACACUGGGCACAACUGUAAGGCUAUAGAGAUGACUCAGUGGGCGAAGUGCUUGCUACUCAAAUUUAAGGACCUGAGUUAGAAUCCCUAGGACUCACAUAUAAAAUCCUGGUGAGGUGGUGCACAUCUGUAAUCAUAGCACGCCUAUGAAAAGAUGGAGGCAGAGACUCGCCCUACUGCCAAAACCACAUGGCUCAUACAAGGUGGAAAGAGCACUAUCCCCUGAAGGUUGUCCUCUGAGUGCCACACGUGUGCACACAGCAUGUACAAGAAGGUCCCACACAAGGCCUGAGCAUGAGCUGAGAAGCCUGCAUUCCAAGAGGCACAACUGUGGACAAGACGGUGAGUUGAGUUUGUGGAGGAUGGCAGGUUUUAUAGAAAGACAAUGCUUACUUGUCAAAUUCAAAGUUAACCAAUGCAGCUCUCGUGAUGUCGCCCCAUCCCUGGAGUGUUUCUGUGAUAAAUUUGGACAAGCAUAGCCUAGUUAGCCAUGCAGGCACAUCUGGGUCCUAUCGUGGGGGAUGGCACCCACGGAACUGCAAUGUGCCAGGGGGUUCCAUUCUUGCUGCCAAGCAAGAGUCACCUCUGGAUACUG